GUUUAUUGUAAACUUAGUGUCAUAAAUGUAAUAAUGGCACCAAGUAUCUAAUAAUGACAUAUUGAGAUGUACCAUGUUAAAUCCAACAAAGAAAAAGAACUUCUGGUGCCAAUGCUGUCAAAGAUAUGCACUCUGUUUAUACCGGGAGGUGAAACAUCCAACUUCUUGGUAAUGGCACCCACUUCUGAAAACAGGCACAGCAGCCAAUACACAGCACCAAAUCAUAUUGUCAUGUCAUAGAAUGCAUUUUAGACACAAUAUGAUUUCCCAAUAAAAUGCAUUAAUUACCAUCAGCUGGCCUGCUAUCGUUGGAUUGAGCACUGGGUCAUGUUUAAUGUGUUCUGUCUCCAGCUGCCACUAUUCAGGUGAAGUUAUAGGCAGUAGCUGCCAGCUGCCCUGCCAAGCUUAUGGAAAGAACACUGGCUACUACUCAUAACAAAAAAAUAACAUGUGCACAUAAAUUUCUUCAGAGUCAUUUGAGAGUUGCACACCAUUGAGAAUCCUGGCAAAUAUUUUAUAAUUCUGAUUAGAAGUUUACAUUCUAGCUUGUCCUAUAUGAUCUGGAUGGAAGCCAUUCCAUUAUCCUUCUCCACUCUGUAGCAGAAGAUGAUGAAACCUCUGGAGCUGUAUAGUGAUUCCAUCACUAAUUCUAAACACCUUCUAUGGACAAGUCUUACCAGACCUGGAAUAGCUGUAUAUUCACACAGUAGCUGUUAACUCAGUUGGCUUAAGAAACAAGCAAUGGUGCAUUCUGUGGCCAUCAGGAUCCAAGGGGACAUAAGCCACUGGACGGGCCUGUCUCCUUAUUUUAUAUUUUGGUCAUUGUGCCAUGUGAAAAGAUGCCAACAUGGCCCAAAAAUAGGAGGUUCACUGGUCCUCACCUGUAUGUAUAACAACUCAACAAACUUACAGAAAAGUUGAUGAACUGACUGAUUCCAUUGAUCCUACAUUUGCCCUGCUAAUCACAGGGAAAAAAGAGGUGCACUGGUUCACAAGUGUGAAACAAUGAGGUAAUGAAAGUCUUCCUGUCAAACUGAAGUCAUCACACUCUGAAGAUUAAUCAUUAAUAAGGACGGCCUUCAGGCGCUCGACUGACGCCUCUCCCAGUAUCAUGCACUCCUGAAAUCUGUAAAAUUGGCAUGCAUUUGCUCUGGUCCAAAGUGGUUCCAGUACCAUAAACACGUCACGUUAUUUACAUCUGGCGACAUUAAAAGGUUUGUAAGGAUAAGAAGGCAUUGCAGGUAAACAAACUUCAAAAGGAAAAAUAACCCUUAUUAGUUGCAUAAGGCGCAAAGGUGUCAAACUGUUCCAUAAAGUAUCCUCACAUAGAGUGGCUCACUCACAUGA
Long non-coding RNA from Thalassophryne amazonica, 1347 nucleotides. RefSeq lists it as uncharacterized. The record is from RefSeq and is a predicted model, not a curated record. The transcript is spliced from 2 exons. Lineage: Eukaryota; Metazoa; Chordata; Actinopteri; Batrachoidiformes; Batrachoididae.